Molecule: long non-coding RNA, 1205 nt
Organism: Apis mellifera (honey bee)
Lineage: Eukaryota; Metazoa; Arthropoda; Insecta; Hymenoptera; Apidae
Exons: 3
Source: RefSeq, a predicted model, not a curated record
CAUUUAUAAUUUUUAUAAAAUAUUAUAAAUAUUCUAAUAUCGUUAAAAAAUUUUAAAUUCAUUUAAAUUUGAUAAAUCCUUUGAUAGAUUAUCUGUAGUUUUAGAAAAUUGUACCAGUAAUGGUGGUAGCUACCUCUGCUUUGAACCCUUUUUUUUCAGGAAAAGGGUAUGGAUACUGUAAAUAGUUCACUAAUAGUAUCAAAUACAAUUAUUCUAAUAUAAUAAAUAUAAUUUAUAUUAUUAGUAAGUAUUUUUAAUUUCAAUGAUUCUUUCACGUAUUCUCUAUUUUCUCUGAAAUUAAUUAAAAUUUUAUAAUUCUAUUACAAUAAAAACAAUAGAAUAAAAAUUAGAAAAUAUAGUAUACAAAAUAUAAAUAAUGAAAAAGAUAAAUAAUAUGCAAAAAUGUUCAAUAUAUAAAAGAUAAAAAAUAAUUUAAUAAUAAAUCAUUUGGAAUUACUACAAUAAUAAUAUUUCCUUACAAAUAAUGUUAAGAAAAUAGAAAUGAAGAAAUAAAACUGUCUGGUCUUGGAAAUACUGAUAAUAUAAGGAACCGCAUCGUUGGAUCACGUAUCACGUUUUGCGAGCACUCCUUUUAUAUCCUAGUGGAAAUAAAGUGUCACUCUUUGUGGAAGAUCUCAGCUUUUCCGAGUUUGUUUUCGUGCCAUUUUUCUACUCUUCUUACAGUUAUUUCAUCCGGAAAACAAUAUCAUGAUUCUUUCAAAUGGUAAAGGUAUGUCUAAUGAAUUGAUGAUUUUUGCUAUUGUGAAAUAAAAAUAAUCUUGGUGAUAAAUAAUAAUUUUCAACGGAUAAAUAAUCGAUAUUUACGUGAAAGAAACACAAGCUUACAAUUAAAAAUUAUCAAGCAAAUUCAUAUAAACUUGACAUUGUUGGCUCUAUCUACUUUUGUUGGCAUUCGUUUCAUUUAUAUAUAUAUAUAUAUAUGUCUUUCGGAUAUUCUCACUGAAUUUAUCUCUGUGACCCAGUUCGUCUUUAGUCUUAAUCCAGAAUAUUUUGCCAAUACCAUUGAUCCUACCAUAUUUAUGAGAUUUUUCUUCUUAUCAGAAUAAUAUUAUAUUAACAUACUUUAACAUAUUCCAAAUUUUAAAUUUAUGAAAGCAUAAUAAUUAAUAUUGAUGCAUUUUAAAGAAUACAUAUUCAAAUACCAUUUACAAUUGAAUGUUAUAGAAACAUAUAUUAAGAAAUAC